Molecule: ribosomal RNA, 1539 nt
Filed under: Staphylococcus aureus DAR3913
Lineage: Bacteria; Bacillati; Bacillota; Bacilli; Caryophanales; Staphylococcaceae
Description: 16S ribosomal RNA
Rfam family: Bacterial small subunit ribosomal RNA
Source: RNAcentral
AGAGUUUGAUCCUGGCUCAGGAUGAACGCUGGCGGCGUGCCUAAUACAUGCAAGUCGAGCGAACGGACGAGAAGCUUGCUUCUCUGAUGUUAGCGGCGGACGGGUGAGUAACACGUGGAUAACCUACCUAUAAGACUGGGAUAACUUCGGGAAACCGGAGCUAAUACCGGAUAAUAUUUUGAACCGCAUGGUUCAAAAGUGAAAGACGGUCUUGCUGUCACUUAUAGAUGGAUCCGCGCUGCAUUAGCUAGUUGGUAAGGUAACGGCUUACCAAGGCAACGAUGCAUAGCCGACCUGAGAGGGUGAUCGGCCACACUGGAACUGAGACACGGUCCAGACUCCUACGGGAGACAGCAGUAGGGAAUCUUCCGCAAUGGGCGAAAGCCUGACGGAGCAACGCCGCGUGAGUGAUGAAGGUCUUCGGAUCGUAAAACUCUGUUAUUAGGGAAGAACAUAUGUGUAAGUAACUGUGCACAUCUUGACGGUACCUAAUCAGAAAGCCACGGCUAACUACGUGCCAGCAGCCGCGGUAAUACGUAGGUGGCAAGCGUUAUCCGGAAUUAUUGGGCGUAAAGCGCGCGUAGGCGGUUUUUUAAGUCUGAUGUGAAAGCCCACGGCUCAACCGUGGAGGGUCAUUGGAAACUGGAAAACUUGAGUGCAGAAGAGGAAAGUGGAAUUCCAUGUGUAGCGGUGAAAUGCGCAGAGAUAUGGAGGAACACCAGUGGCGAAGGCGACUUUCUGGUCUGUAACUGACGCUGAUGUGCGAAAGCGUGGGGAUCAAACAGGAUUAGAUACCCUGGUAGUCCACGCCGUAAACGAUGAGUGCUAAGUGUUAGGGGGUUUCCGCCCCUUAGUGCUGCAGCUAACGCAUUAAGCACUCCGCCUGGGGAGUACGACCGCAAGGUUGAAACUCAAAGGAAUUGACGGGGACCCGCACAAGCGGUGGAGCAUGUGGUUUAAUUCGAAGCAACGCGAAGAACCUUACCAAAUCUUGACAUCCUUUGACAACUCUAGAGAUAGAGCCUUCCCCUUCGGGGGACAAAGUGACAGGUGGUGCAUGGUUGUCGUCAGCUCGUGUCGUGAGAUGUUGGGUUAAGUCCCGCAACGAGCGCAACCCUUAAGCUUAGUUGCCAUCAUUAAGUUGGGCACUCUAAGUUGACUGCCGGUGACAAACCGGAGGAAGGUGGGGAUGACGUCAAAUCAUCAUGCCCCUUAUGAUUUGGGCUACACACGUGCUACAAUGGACAAUACAAAGGGCAGCGAAACCGCGAGGUCAAGCAAACCCAUAAAGUUGUUCUCAGUUCGGAUUGUAGUCUGCAACUCGACUACAUGAAGCUGGAAUCGCUAGUAAUCGUAGAUCAGCAUGCUACGGUGAAUACGUUCCCGGGUCUUGUACACACCGCCCGUCACACCACGAGAGUUUGUAACACCCGAAGCCGGUGGAGUAACCUUUUAGGAGCUAGCCGUCGAAGGUGGGACAAAUGAUUGGGGUGAAGUCGUAACAAGGUAGCCGUAUCGGAAGGUGCGGCUGGAUCACCU